Molecule: long non-coding RNA, 10752 nt
Organism: Numida meleagris (helmeted guineafowl)
Lineage: Eukaryota; Metazoa; Chordata; Aves; Galliformes; Numididae
Exons: 2
Source: RefSeq, a predicted model, not a curated record
AAAAAAAAAACACUGAAAAAGAAAAAGAAAACACUUAGAAAAGCAAAACAUGGCUGAGAUUGCAGAUCGGUGUGGGAGUGCAUUAACAACGCUGGUAUUUCUGUACUACCCAGAUCAUCAAUUAUUAACAAAUUAGGACAUGCCUGAUGGGGUGCUUAUGUAACACUUCUUUAUCAAUAACACUGCCAAGUCCCUUGCAGGGGAAAGCGAAGUGAAUUUCAACAAAUCAUGAAGUGAUGCCUGCCCUUGGACUGGGCACUUGAUGAAUUCUCGUUUCCCCCUCCCCAGCAGAACCACCAACCCGCAUGGAGCAAUCCCAGCCAGCCCGGCACCCCGCAGCCCGCUGGAGCGGCUGUCCCAAACCAGGUCAGCGCGCACCGAUGCCUUAUGGCACUGCAGCAGUGGCAAUGGGAGGAAGGGGCCCAAACCCCACAUCCCCUUCCUGGGGGCAUCACUGGCCCCAAGAGCAGGCCCUGGCAUUGCACGCCACCUGCCUGGGCCAGGGAGGGGAAAAGCCCACAGCUCUCUUCCCCACUUUACCCUUUGGGUACAGCCAUCGCCUCACAGGAGGAAAGGACCUGCUAUAAGGGCAGCCUGCAGUGACACUUUCCCUCACCCUGCUCUAUCUCAUUUCCUUCAAUAGGCAAGAGCGAGCAGGGUGGGGGGCACAAAAAAACCCCCUUCCCUGUUUGAGGGCCUGACGCUUAAGUCCUAAAUGCCAGGAUCAAAUCUGAGCGUCACCCAACGGUGAGUUCCACUCCGCUGGGCUGGUCCCCAGCAGGAGAAGCAGCUCUGUGCCCCGCACCUCCUGACGAGCACCUGCUGGAGCAUCCGAGCUGCGCACCAAGCCAAGCUCCCCCAGCAGUUUCUGGGACUCGGCACGUAAACGUGCACAAAAUGAGUAUUUGCCUCUUGAAGGCAAGUAACCACUUAGCGACACAUUUUCUUCCAUUUAAAACAAGAAAAUUAUUAUCAGUGAGGAGGCUUCCCAAGAGGAAUUAAGACUCUUCAUAGCACAUUUGCAUUUGCUACUUAUCCCCUCUCUGAUUGCAUCACUCCAUGUAGCACAACUGGUGCCUGGGAGGUGAUGGAGUCACAGGGCCCCGCUUACGCUGUCACAGAGAUGUAUUUUCAUUCUGAACAGAGCUAGCAGCCCAGGUCAUAACAAACUGCAAUGAAAGAUCGCAGAAGAGAAGGACAUAAAGUGAAACCUUUAACUGACAAAGACGUCAAUUCUGUGCAAAGUGCUAGCAAUAAUAAUAAAGAUCGCAGGAAGGAGGCCGUGAUGGCAGCACAGAGCGCUCUGCAAAGUUUCCCUUGAGCUGCUGGCAGCCCUGAAAUGGGUCACGGAAAGUCGAAACUGUGUUAUUGAUCACUGCUUACUCUGCAGGUGUGUUCAUCUUCUUAAUAAAAGUGCUUUCGCUAUUUUCACUUAAAGCAAAACAAUAUUCCAGCAUCUUCCAAAGUCCCGUACAAUCAGAAACAAUGCGAAUGAUGGCACUACUAACUGCCUAAACACUUUCUUUACAUAUUUUUAAGUAAUUACCUUUCUGAGCAAACCCCUUUUACGGGUGAAAGAAAACACAACUUGUUAUGAGUACACAAGAGUAUCGCACACAUUUGGCAUUUUACAACCACGUUCUAAAGCUCCCCUUCAAAAUUACCAGCAAGGGUGGAAGUCCUGCACAAUUGUAGCACCCAACAUCUGAAAAAAUCAGAGCGGUCCCAACUCUGCUUUGAGCUGUAUAAAAGAACAGUUGAAAAACUUACAGUUGACUGGUGCUACCUAGGUUACCCGUCAAUGGCACUGAAACUGGUAUAUUAUUAAGAGAGGUGUAUGAUGGGAAUUGGUUUAUUGUGCUGAUCCAUAGUAACCAACUCCCGUUCGUCCAUCAUUUAUCUCUCUCACCAGCGACAUAUGGGUUUGUCUAUUCACACUCUCAGCAUUCUCUCUGCUCCAACAAACAGUCAGCCUUUUCUGCUGGGAUAAGGAGAUUUUUUAGUUACAUCCAUUAUGUGCGUAUCAACAUUUAUGGCAGGAAGAUAAUUGCCAAAGAGCUCAGGGGGAUAAAAGCUCCCUCUUUAUAACACAAACUCCCUUAAAAAAAUCAAUAUUGAUAUAAAACAGUUCAACGCAAAGCCUUGGUGUGUCUUCUGCUUGCUUUGGUUUGAAAUACUUUUUUUUUUUUUAAUAGCAAGUCAAACUGGAACAUCAGGUAGAAAGCCUUCAUAGUGACUUGCACUAGUGCUCUUCCCAUACAGGAAAAAAUAGCAGCAUACAGUAUUAAUUGUUCCUUAAAGAAGUGAAUGGCAAAUGUGUCAGAUACAAAGAGGGCUCCUUGGAGAGGCGCCAGCAUCGUUUAAACUGAUUUAGCUAUCUUUAUUUGGAGACCACACCAAUUACCAGUGAAUCGUAACUUAUAAUCACCUUCUCCUAAACGCGGAAAAACGCUGACAACUCAGAAACAGUCGGCACAAGGGAACAAUGAAACCUGGGGAUCCUGCCUUCCCUCCCGGUUAGGGGCUCUGACAACCUUCUACUCUUCCACCCCCAGUUUGGGCAAGUCCAUUUGUUACAGCUUUUGCCAGAUUUACUUCACCUUCCCAUGGCCACAUGCUCGUAAAAGUUACUGUAAGGCCACUUUCAUGGAAGUAGCAAGUAACAUAGCACAAUGUAGCACAUUUAUGGAUUAAAUGGCCGGGAACCAUGGGUUGCACUGCACUUCACCUUAGGGGAUGGCUGGGGGAUCCCACUCCCCGCUCUCCCUGGCCUUGUGUUGCCUCCCGCCCUCCUCCCAGCGCAGCGGGGCAGCGGUGCCAGCCGGCACCUGGGUCGGGAGCUCUCGCAGUCCAUCUCGCAUCCGUUCGGAAGGCAGCUGGCACAACAGCUCCCUAAUCCCAUUUAAAACCUCUGCAAGCCACCCUGUUAUAAUGGCAGCAACGAGAUCGGUGCAAAAAUUAAAAUUGAGUUCACUGACACACCAUAUUCAUAAGGCACUUCCACCUGCGGAGCAGGAGGCCAAACAAGAGAGUUAAUAAUACGUACAACUGCCUCCUGUAACGACUAAUCUCCCCCCAAAUCCUUUAACAACUACGUUAGCUUUAAAAAAAUCCAGGAGUCUUUGCAGGUUCAAACCACACAGUUACAAGGGACUACAAGCGAAGCCCUGUCAAUAUUUGCUUUUCCAAUUGUGAAGUUUUAGUUAAAAGGAUUAAAAACAGAGACGGAAAAGCUCGAGUUAAAAACAAAAGACAAAACAAAAAUCUCUGAAAAUAAGAAGCUAAGUUCCAGUGGGGCUGCUCGGUUCUAAGCACUAAGCAGCUUUUCGCCCGCUGGAGAGGAGCAGCGCAGCGCCUGUUACCUGCCUUACAAUGCACACUAUUUGUUUUCUAUCCCUGAGCAACAGACUAUUUCCUGGUUCAGUUUAAAAACUCAGUGACGUUCCAAUUUCAGCCCACACAUGUGUGUCACUGUCAACGUCAGUGGCAGGAAAACAUUAGAAGUCACCCCUUGCUAAUGCUUUCCUAACAUGGAAUUUCCUUGCAUCGCGCUCCCUCAGCCCACCUCCUCCCUCCAAGCUGAGAGCAUCUUUUCCCAAAUCGCUUUUUUUUUUUUUCUCCUCUCCAAGCAUAUGGCAGCGAGAGAGAACUGAAAAUGGUCAGUGCCAGGAGCAGAUCGUUGCUUUUUUGGGUGCCAGCGUGCAACUUCCUCGCGCUGCUCCCGCCCGCCGGCAGCACCCGACAGGGCCGCAGCUGAAUGAUGAAUGAAUUGAGAGGUUUUCAAGCACCUGCAGCUCCCAUUGGUGUAACAGGAAUUUGGGGUGACCAAGGCUGGACCAGAAAAACCUGACUGCACGUGAUAUUAAGAAGUCCCAGGGCUACCGCCCUCCUGGGCCCUGGCUUCGGAGGCAGCACUUGCCUGGCAGAGUGCUGGGAGCGAGGGCUCUGAAAGUGCUGUUGUUUGGGAGACCUGAGCAGGGGACGGGGCCAAAGAGCUGGGCUCUGCCAUGGCUUUGGGAAGAAGCCCAUCUGUGGCUGGGGAAGGAGCACAGUGAGCACUGCAAAAAGUGCAGCAAGACCGGAUUUUGCUUCCAAGGGAAUUUCCUUCUCUUCUCCAUUACAAGUCUCACCAUAUACAAAUAGCUGGCUUGUUAUUGCAGCUCAAAGGAAUGAAUGAGCUCAAAAGAAUGUGAAGAGGAGAGAAUGCUACAAUUCCACUGGGAAGAGCUGCUUCUUUUUAUUUAACUUCUCAGCUUGGUUAAUAUUUUACUGCGGUUCAAGAGCAGCCCCGUCAGAACGCCCCGUCCCACGCUGUGUAACUGGACACACCUCCGAAUCGCGAGCCCUGCACCUGCCUGCAGCCGUCUAGAAGCAUUCUGUGCAUCUGCGUGUUUGAAAGUAUCUCACAGUUCUGCUUCCUGUGAAUGUGCAUUCAGCCCUGCACGCUGGCAAAAUGCUUAUGCUGAAUUUGGGAGCGUGCAGAGAGCUGGCCGUGGCUGGGGGUGGGGUGGGGAUCUCCCCUGGGAGCCAAGGCAGUGCUAGCAUGGAGCUUCUUUGUGAGGGAACAGCAGUGCCAGGUUGGGGCUCACGGGACCCGAGCAGCUUCAGGAAGGCGCACACAGCCCCGGCUGCACACAGUUCAUGUGCCAGACAAUGGCCACAGGUUCACUGGGGCUGAAACGCCGGGCUCAGGCCCUCAGAACAUCGGGUCGGGCCCAGCACCGCCAGCAAAGCCGGGCAGGAUCAUGGACUGCUGCGCAGCGCAGCUUUCAGCCUGCUUUCCUAAACUGUUAAACCAUUAAAUAUUUAGGUGGCCAUAUGCAAAUCAUUUAAAUUCUGUUUCUCGGAAGCGCACCAUGUCAUUCAGACAUGCUUUGUGCCAAGAGCCUCUUCCUACGCUUUCAUCAACUGCUUGUUUUAAAACCUGUAAAGGACUUAACUAAUGGCUAAUUGUUGGCCACCUUUUUUUCAAGGGCAUUUAUAGAUGAGGGAGGAGGAGGGAGAAACAGAAACCCAGAGACCUGGGCUUCUCUCAGAGAAAACAAACAGAAGAAAACACAUUUUUGUGCACGUACCAAAGAAAACCCCGGGACCUCUCUCCUUUUUGCAACCCCCCUCCAAGGGUAACAAUUUGGCAAUUCAACAAAUAAACAGUCCUUUAUUUAGGAGCUGCCUGGCGGACACUGAGCGCUCCAGAGGCAAGGGCCCCAGAUCUUCCUUUCUUCGUGUCACUGUGGAUUUGCUUGUGGAAGUGCACGGCACCAUGCACUGAGCCCAGCAGCUGAGCUCAUGCUUCAGGCAUUCUCCCAGGACCGGGGGGAGGGGGCUCUCCGCCAGCUCCCGGCCGCCUCUCCCCUCGCAUUUGCACACACACAAAUCAUGUUAUCAUAGUGAAAAUAUGUAAGAAUUCCAGGAAGCAGAGGAAGUUUGUGUGUUGACCUUAAUUUAUUUUUUUUUCCAGAGGAAGAUCACUCCAAAUGUUAAAAGGAUAGUGGAUGCUAGCUAAAUUCAAAUGCAGAUAUUUUAAUUCUCGUUGCAACUAUUUAUUCUGCUGUGCUUUUCCUUUUAGCAUUAGUGCUGUUUGUGUUUUAUCCCACACGGGCAGCUGGAUCAGGUGAAGCAAAAUUGGUGAGAAGCUCUGUGGGUCCUAUCUGGAUUGUUAGAGGAGUCCAAGCGUUCUCUGGUUCCUAUUUUCCAUUACAGUAAAAUUGGGUGAGACCGUUUCUGGAGGGGAGGGAAGGAAAGGGUGGAUGAAAGUGGGCUAAUGCAUCAGGAUCUUGUGCAUGGAGACCUGGUUUGUUCUGCUUUACAGGGCUUGAACUCUACAGUGCUGAUCUAUUUGGCUCCAGACCCAAUUGCGUUUUUAAAACCAUGGGGGUUUUAAACCUGCAAGUGUCUUCAUGCAGACCAUAGCACCCUAAGAGUGAUCUGUGCACCCACACACCCAGCAUCAACGCCAGGCGGAGGCUCGCACCGCAGCCCAGCCCCAGUGCGAGGCUUCCAUCACUGUCAUGCCACAGCCUCAGGGGCACAGAACCAUGGAAUAUCCCAACUCAGAGGUGACCCCCAGUGAUGCAGCUCCUGGCCUCACGCAGGACCUCCAAAAUCCCACCUGUAAUUCAAACCAUGUGGUCAUCGGUGCUCACAUGCACAAGGUUCUUACACAUCCAUCCCACCACACCAGGCCCACAUGUGUGUGUGUGCACACGGAGCCAGGAACGUAGGACUUGAGUCCUUAAAUACUUGAGACUCCCUCAGUCCGUGAGCAACAGGGUCACACAGAUCUGCACUUGUGAAAUGGCAAGCCAAAAAACAAGCAAACAAUAAAACGCCCACAAACACGCUUGCUGACUGGCCAGCAAAAACACAAAUAUUUUCACUGAUUGGCGUUAAUUGCAGGGGCCAGACAUCUCUUGGCCUGGUGGCCUCAGCCGGGAGCUCUGGCUGCACACCGCGGAGCUGGGUGCUUGUUCUGGCCCCGCACCAGGGAUGUGCCAGGGCUUGUGCAACAAACCACGGGCACCUUCCGUUUUUGUAAAAUAAGGCAUGGCCAGCAAACAUUUAACCUGCGAGAAAGGGUUUGUGAAUCUUUCGGACCUCCCAUGAUUUUUAUUCCUUUUCAUAUGCUCCCUCUGUUGCACACAUAAGCUCAAAGCCUGGGUCAGUUUUACAGGAGCAAGCCUGUUCUUCUAGCUGAGAGGCAGCCUGUGAUGUUUCCUAGGGCCAGGCAUCCCCACCCAACAUCUCUGCUGAAACAAGGCCAUCUUGGUGAAAUAGCCCGAGCAGCUUGCAGUGUCACAGGGCUCACUAACAUCUGUGACAGUGCAGAGCUUGUCCCACAGAAUCUCUCUGCUCAAUAGAUUCUUCUCUUUAAGUUUUCUGAACUCACUCGUCUCCCCCUCCCUCAGCCUGUCCCUUCUUAUGCAUAUUUCAAAUGCAUACCUUUCUUUGCCUCAUCUCAGCAUAAAGUAGAAAAAUAGAUAUUUGAAUUAUAGUUUGGUUUUCCAAAUAUUCAGACAAGGAAGGAGGGCAAUACAAGCUUGCUACUCUGAAUGUUUUGGUGCUGAGACUUCUUUAACAUACAGCCCCCUACCAGCUGCAGCCUGGAUUUAUACCACAGGGAAGAACACAGUAGAACCAGACUGAAGAUUAAUGAAAACCAAUUCUGGCCUCUGUUCCACAUGCCUCAAAGAUUUAAAAAGUAAAAAUAAAAAAUGAGGGAGCUUUGCUUUGGCAAUAAGCAUUACAACAAAAAAGUAAUUUUCCCAAACGGGCUGUGAAGAGAAGACAUGCCUCUUACAGCUUCUUGGUGUCCCCAGCCAUCGUGAUGGCUUCAUGGCCAUGAGCUAACCCAGGCAUGCCCAACCACGGUCCUCAUGCCCCUCAGCCAUCAGCAGAAUAACAAAGCUAGUUUUUGUUAAGAAAGCCUAUUUAAAUGAAGUUUUCGAGUGUAAUCCUCACUUGGCAUAAACAGAUGUGGCUCUGUGUCAGUUAAUGCAGCUGCACUUAGCUAGAUCUGCUGGGGAGCAAGCCUUGGUUUUCUAGUGGAGGAAAACAUAAGAAUUAGUGGUGUCCAUAUUUUGAGGGGUAAAUAAAUACACAGGUAACAUGCAAAUCAUUCUAUUUAGGAAUAAGAAAUUAGGAAAUAAGAAUAUGCCAGAACUAUUGAAAAGUCAUCUGUAUCUCGCAGAAGGGUACGUUCCCAUCUUUUUUGGUCUGUACAAGGUGAUUAAAAGAAUUAGUGAAGUCUUUAAGACAUCUUUCUCAGUAAAGACGUGGCUGAACCGAACAAUGUGUGCAAUCAGGGCAGUCGCUAUACAACAAGGCCCCAGUUCAGCAAAGUGCUCAAGCACACCUUUAGCUUUUAGUGCAUGAGUGGCCUCAUUGAAGUCCUUAGUAAUUAUGUGUUUUGCUGAAUCAGGACCCGAAUUUAUUUGGGGCAGGAGGACCUUAAUAUCUUCCAAGGAAUUAUACUUAUUAAAGGGGACAGUCUAUAAAUUAGUAUUUAAGUUAAAAUCAAUUUCUAGAUAAUACAUAUCCCUAAAAGACAGCUUGUUAGUUUGUAUGAGCUUUGUAACAAAACUUUAAUUAAACCCUUUUUAAAUAAAACCUGUCGUACAUUAUACUGCUAAUUGACUUGACCUGGUACAAAGAGGACUCUGCCAGCUAGAGGAGACUAAAGGAGAUUAUUCUGUCUGGUGCUGCAGUGAUUGUGUGUUAAUAAAAUUUAUUUCUGCAGUCUUGCCCAACUCCCUAUUGUGUAUUCAAGAAAUGUGUGGGCUCGAAGCCAGUCAUCACAAAGCAAAAAGUAAUAAAACCACAAACGCUGACUUUUUCUGCCCCACGUUCUGCUGCUUUGCUGUAGCACAAGCUACUUGGUAUGUUCUGCUUUCACACGCACCUCAGCUAGAUUUCUCACUUCAAUUUUAUUCCCUAUUUUUUCAAGUUAUGUAAAACCUUGCACCUUGUAAAUGGGAGCACAGUAACAAGGGAAGGACAAUUACAGGAUCCAGAACGCUUGGUGAUGAAAUAUUCUGGGUGUGGCAACCAUUUUAUGGCCAUUACACUGAUUACAUACAGUAUAGCACAUCUAGCAAUUAGACAGACAUGCUUAAUCCUCCUGGAUGAGACCUGUUUCACUCACAAUUCAUUUGUAUGGGCCAAAUUCUUCCCUCUCCCUCAUGCAAGUAAAUCUGAAACAACCUCACACCGAUCUGUAGAAUCAUGUUGGAUUGACAUUCAUGUAAAUGACAGCAAAACAUGACCCACUGACUUCACAGAGGUACUCCCAACACACACUGGGUGCAAUCGCAAAAAGCAAUCACAAGAACUUAUGCAAGAAAUAAGGGGAAUAAACAGGGGGACUUGGAAGCUUCGCUAUGUGAUCAAAAUGAUGAAUUAAUUGGCAUGAGAGACUUGUUGGGAUAAUUCAAAUGACUAGAAUACUAAUAUAGGUAGCAUAGUUUGUUCAGGGAAAAAAAAAAAGGGUAAAACAGCUUCACUUCUCAGUGGGAAAUGAGGAAAGAAAUGAACCAGCUGAAAAUCCUUCCCUAGUAAUAAUAGAGGGGACGAAGGCAGGUGCUGUCACGAUGGGGGUGGGGGUGUCUAGAGCAAAGCCACAAAGAACAGAUGGACAGAGCUACUUCUCAUGGAGGACACAAGAUGAAUCAUACAUGCAGCACACAGGGCUUGAAGGAUGGUGGAGGGACACGGACGUGAGGGAAUGGAGGUAGCAGCCAGGACACAGGGUAUCAUGGGAUACAAACUCUCUGAUGACAGAGAAGCAGGCUGGAGAAUCCUUGCUCAAGAUUUUAACAGAGAAGAUUGGAAAUAUGAAAGCAGAAAGCAAUUUGGGCAAUAGCCAUCAUGGAAUGAGAAAACUUAUGGCGCCUGGAAGGCAAAAUGCAGACAACAGACUUGAAGAAAUCCAGCUUAAAUUAACUCAGAGAACUGGUAAGCAGUAUCUCAUGGGGAACAAGUUCAGAGCAGUUGACAUUUCCUUAAAAUAGUUCUAUUAAGAGCACAAGUGCAAAUUAUCCUGAAGCAGCAAAAUCAUUAGAAGUGUUGUAAGAAACCACCUCAGCUAAAUCACAAACUCCUUGCAGACCUCAAACACCAGGAGCACGUGGAAAGCGGAGCCUAGGUUGGAUUACUGAGGAAGAGGAUGAAAGCAGAGAUAAUGUAGGGCCCAAACCAGGGAGGUCAAGUGAGUAGGGACCAUGUCUAGCAAGGUACAGGAAAGAUAAUGAGAAAGCAUUCUGCAACCAGACUUUGUAAUAGGAGGAAGGUGAGGAAAAAUAGUUGGCCUGCUAUUCAGCAGGCAGUGAAAGUUAUUGACAGGUGAUGCUGAAAAGGCUGAGGGCUUAAUGCUUUUUUGCUGUAAUCUUUACUAAAAAGGUCAAAUGAGAUCAGGCAGGAAACAGCACAAGAGGCAAAGGGGUAGAAACACAAGUGAAAACAGGGAAAGAGCAGAUUAAAUAGUACUUAGAUAAAUUAGAUCUUUCAAAUUGCCUAGGUCAGAUAGAAUUCAUCCUAGGGUAUCCUAUGGACUGUUUGAAGCAAGCUUGGAGAGCUUGUGGAACAUGGGUGAAUAUCUAGAAAACAGGAAACUGGCACAUAGUGCCUCCCCUUAAAGCAAGGGAAAAGACUGUAACAGGGAAUUAAAGCACAGUGAGUGAAGGUCAGUUUUUGGAAAAAUACGGAAACAAUCAAAUUAUUUGUAACCACUCAGGAAAUAACAAGGAGAUGAGUAACAGCUAGCAUGGCUUUGUCAAAAACACAGAUUUGUUAAACCAAUUUAAUUUCCUUCAGUGGGAACAGGGGGAAAACAGUAGGUAAAUCUCAACUUUAUUAAAGCUUUCCAGUAUGGUCCUCCUCAUGAACAUGGUCAUAUGCAAACUAGGAAGAGUGUGGCCUUCAUCAACCUGCGGAAUUCUCUGUCAAACCGGAUGGAUGUUGUGAAGUGCAUUUCUGCAGGCGUAUGCCCUGGAUUUGCUUCUGUGAAGUGCUUCUGCUACAGCCUUUUUUUGCUGGAACAGUGAGUUGCCUUCUGCUACAGCAAAACUGAGAAGGGCUGCACAGGUGACAGUGGGCUGCUCUGACGAUGUUUGCUCAGAACACAAUGCAGUUAUGACAGCUGGAGCCAUGUACUCAGUUUGGGGCAAAACAUUUCAGCUCAAAAGAAAAAAAAAAGAAAAGAAAAAUGAAAAGAGAUGUGGACUGAACAGAAAAGAACUAGCAGAGAGUAGCCAG